AAGUCGUAACAAGGUUUCCGUAGGUGAACCUGCGGAAGGAUCAUUCACAAUCAGUGUUUAAUGGCACUUGAAUCCAUUACCCACCUUGUGUGCAAUGUCGGGGAGGGGUUGUCUUUUCAACCCCUUCUUAUCAUUCAACCCUAGUUUUUCAUAUCAGUCUACAAGUAUCGAGUAUCAAAAAACUCUAAUACAACUUUCAACAACGGAUCUCUUGGCUCUC
RNAcentral lists this unclassified non-coding RNA (220 nucleotides) under fungal sp. Its description in RNAcentral is "partial internal transcribed spacer region". The stretch from base 1 to 46 matches the Rfam family "Eukaryotic small subunit ribosomal RNA", at positions 1786 to 1831 of the family's 1831-position model. Lineage: Eukaryota; Fungi. The record is from RNAcentral.